Potamilus streckersoni is the source of this 73-nucleotide non-coding RNA. NCBI's taxonomy places the organism in Eukaryota, Metazoa, Mollusca, Bivalvia, Unionida, Unionidae. The record is from the annotation of a GenBank genome assembly.
CGCUCGGUGGCUUAUUAGUUAGAGCGUCUGUCUAUGAUGCCGGAGGUCGCAGGUUCGAACCCAGACCGAGUUA